Molecule: ribosomal RNA, 451 nt
Filed under: uncultured bacterium
Lineage: Bacteria
Description: bacterial SSU rRNA
Rfam family: Bacterial small subunit ribosomal RNA
Source: RNAcentral
GAUGAACGCUGGCGGCGUGCUUAACACAUGCAAGUCGAGCGAAGCACUUAUGAAAGAUUCUUCGGAUGAAUUCAUUUGUGACUGAGCGGCGGACGGGUGAGUAACGCGUGGGUAACCUGCCUCAUACAGGGGGAUAACAGUUGGAAACGACUGCUAAUACCGCAUAAGCGCACAGUACCGCAUGGUACAGUGUGAAAAACUCCGGUGGUAUGAGAUGGACCCGCGUCUGAUUAGCUAGUUGGUGGGGUAACGGCCUACCAAGGCGACGAUCAGUAGCCGACCUGAGAGGGUGACCGGCCACAUUGGGACUGAGACACGGCCCAAACUCCUACGGGAGGCAGCAGUGGGGAAUAUUGCACAAUGGGGGAAACCCUGAUGCAGCAACGCCGCGUGGGUGAAGAAGUAUUUCGGUAUGUAAAGCUCUAUCAGCAGGGAAGAAAAUGACGGUACC